UAUAAGAAUUUUAUGAUGAUCAGAUAUUUGAUUAAAUUGGUCUUUUAUAAGAUCAAUUAGAUUAUAUUUCAGUAAUAAAUAUUUUUAGAAUUAUUUUGUUCGAAUUACAGAAUCAGUCAAUGUCAAUUUAAUCUCACCACGCAAUCGGUGUACGUAUUAUGAGCCUGUUCCCAUAGAAUGGGCUUAAAUAUACAUUGCAAAUUUUAAAGUCACUGUGUCCGGAUACGAAUAAACGAACCAUACAGAUA
Molecule: long non-coding RNA, 248 nt
Organism: Magallana angulata
Lineage: Eukaryota; Metazoa; Mollusca; Bivalvia; Ostreida; Ostreidae
Exons: 2
Source: RefSeq, a predicted model, not a curated record